CUGCUCGCUUUGGCAGCACAUGUACUAAAAUUGGAACCAUACAGAGAAGAUUAGCAUGGCCCCUGUGUAAAGACGACAGGCAGGUUGGUAAAGUGUUCCAUAUUUUU
Small nuclear RNA from Otolemur garnettii (small-eared galago), 107 nucleotides. NCBI's taxonomy places the organism in Eukaryota, Metazoa, Chordata, Mammalia, Primates, Galagidae. The record is from Ensembl.